GUGGAAGAAUAGGUGAUUGCGCUGCGUGAGGCUGAAAAGCCCGCGUGGUGAGGAAAGUCCGAACUUCACAGAGCAUCGCGCCGACUAACGGUCGGACGGUAAGCAGUGCGCGGAACGAAGCGAUGAAGCCGCACACAGCAAGCCGAUGGAAAGUGCAACAGAAAAGAUACCGCCAGCACGGCAAAGAAAUUCGCAAGAAGAACGUUGCCAUGCAGGUAAGGGUGAAAUGGUAAGGUAAGAGCUUACCGCACACGUGGCAACACGGCGUGGCAUGGUAAACCCCGCGAGAAGCAAAGCCAAGUAUGAAUGCACUACUGCAAAUGUACCAGCACACGCAGUAUGUAUGCGGCUCGUGUAAAUGUUUGUUCGCGCAAUGGCGCAAGCCUUUGCCAAAGCAAACGGUGUAUUCGGGUAGGCUGCACAAGAUAAAUAAUCACCUCUUUGCUUGGAAGCCGCUUCCUUCCUUGCGAAAAGACAGAAUUCGGCUUAUCAUUCUUUCACGAUU
RNAcentral lists this RNase P RNA (505 nucleotides) under Kapaibacterium sp. (SeqCode). RNAcentral describes it as "Candidatus Kapabacteria bacterium (microbial mat metagenome) RNase P RNA component class A". It matches the Rfam family "Bacterial RNase P class A". From Rfam's summary of the family: Ribonuclease P (RNase P) is a ubiquitous endoribonuclease, found in archaea, bacteria and eukarya as well as chloroplasts and mitochondria. The record is from RNAcentral. Lineage: Bacteria; Pseudomonadati; Bacteroidota; Eximiradiia; Eximiradiales; Kapaibacteriaceae (SeqCode).